GCCUAAAGCGUCCGUAGCCUGAUCUAUAAGUUUCCGGUUAAAUCCACAUGCUCAACAUUUGGGCUGCCGGAAAAACUGUAGAUCUAGGGAGUGGGAGAGGUAGACGGUACUCGAUAGGAAGGGGUAAAAUCCUUUGAUCUAUUGAUGACCACCAGUGGCGAAGGCGGUCUACCAGAACACGUUCGACGGUGAGGGAUGAAAGCUGGGGGAGCAAACCGGAUUAGAUACCCGGGUAGUCCCAGCUGUAAACGAUGCAGACUCGGUGAUGCAUUGGCUUAUGGCCAGUGCAGUGCCGCAGGGAAGCCGUUAAGUUUGCCGCCUGGGAAGUACGUACGCAAGUAUGAAACUUAAAGGAAUUGGCGGGGGAGCACCACAAGGGGUGAAGCCUGCGGUUCAAUUGGAGUCAACGCCAGAAAUCUUACCCGGAGAGACAGCAGAAUGAAGGUCAAGCUGAAGACUUUACCAGACAAGCUGAGAGGUGGUGCAUGGCCGUCGCCAGCUCGUGCCGUGAGAUGUCCUGUUAAGUCAGGUAACGAGCGAGACCCUUGCCUCUAGUUGCUACCAUUGCUCUCUGGAGCAGUGGGGCGAAUUAGCGGGACCGCCGCAGUUAAUGCGGAGGAAGGAAAGGGCUACGGCAGGUCAGUAUGCCCCGAA
RNAcentral lists this ribosomal RNA (654 nucleotides) under uncultured archaeon. RNAcentral's name for it is "bacterial SSU rRNA". It matches the Rfam family "Archaeal small subunit ribosomal RNA", at positions 508 to 1160 of the family's 1478-position model. The record is from RNAcentral.